AUGGCGUCUUCGCCGUCGUCGUCCCCCGCGGCCCCCGCCGAAGCCGACUCCCCGAUCGUCCACGUCGCCUUCAGCAGCGGCACCUCCCACUUCGUCGCGUCCGCGGCCACCGGGUUCCACGUCUUCUCCUGCGACGACGACAAGGUCGAGCGCGUCCACUACAAGUCCGACGCCGUCGCCUCUCCCGGCGUCGUGGUGACCUCCGCCGAGCUGCUAACGCGGUCGCGCGUGGCCGUUGUGACCCAGAUGGCAGGCGCCGUCAAGGGCGCGGCCGAGCACCACGCCAUCUACUUCUGGGACGAGGAGAGCGGGGAGGCGAAGCAGAUAGCCAUCGGCUCGACCAAGACCCCCGACCUCGGCCCCGUGGGCGGGCUCCGCCUUCUCGGGGGCCACGUGCUCGUCGCCGGCCAGCAGAUGGCCAUGCUGGUCAUCAGCGGCGACUUGAAGAGCCGAAAGCUGGUUCAGACGGGCCCCAACCCGCUUGGGCUGUGCGCGCUGGCGGUUGACCAGGAGACGCGGCUCGUCUGCGCCCUGCCGCGGCCGGAGAAGGGGGCGGUGCAGGUCCGCCGGACCGGCAAGCCCGGCAGCGUCGACGUGCGCGCGCACGCGUCGAGCCUGUCGUGCAUCGCGCUCUCCCGCGACGGCCGGCUGCUCGCCACAGCCGGAUCAAAGGGCACGCUCGUGCGCAUCUUCAGCACCGACGACGGCACCAUGCUCCAAGAGCUAAGGAGAGGCAUCGACAGAGCAGACAUCCACUGCAUCGCCUUCUCGCCGGACUUCAGAUGGCUGGCCGUUUCCAGCGACAAGGGGACGGUCCACGUUUUCCCCGUCGCCAGCGUCGACAAAGCAACCUUGACAAUGGAGGGCGGCGACGGGGAUGCCCUCCUGGUGGCCCCGUCACGAGCAGCGGCGUUUCCUCCUGCACCGGCAGCAGCCAAGCAGGGAUCAUUACUGCCAUCGUUCUUGAAAGGUUACUUGCCGAGCUACUUCAGCUCAGAGCGGUCUCUGGCGCAGGUCCGGCUCCGUGAGGGCGUCGAGUACGCGGUGGAGUUCUGGCGGCACCACCCCAACACCAUCCUCAUCGCCGGCACGGACGGAAGCUUCUACCGGUGCCGUUUCGACCCCGUGAACGCGGGCGAGAUGAAGCAGCUGGAGCAUGAGAGAUUCAUUAAGAAGAUCAACGAGUGA
Molecule: ribosomal RNA, 1188 nt
Filed under: Triticum aestivum (bread wheat)
Lineage: Eukaryota; Viridiplantae; Streptophyta; Magnoliopsida; Poales; Poaceae
Description: partial small subunit ribosomal RNA
Source: RNAcentral